RNAcentral lists this ribosomal RNA (245 nucleotides) under uncultured bacterium. Its description in RNAcentral is "partial 16S ribosomal RNA". It matches the Rfam family "Bacterial small subunit ribosomal RNA", at positions 524 to 768 of the family's 1533-position model. The record is from RNAcentral.
UACGUAGGGUGCGAGCGUUAAUCGGAAUUACUGGGCGUAAAGCGUGCGCAGGCGGUUUUGUAAGCCAGUCGUGAAAUCCCCGGGCUUAACCUGGGAAUGGCGAUUGGGACUGCAAGGCUGGAGUAUGGCAGAGGGGACUGGAAUUCCUGGUGUAGCAGUGAAAUGCGUAGAUAUCAGGAGGAAUACCGAUGGCGAAGGCAGGUCCCUGGGCUGAUACUGACGCUCAUGCACGAAAGCGUGGGGAG